RNAcentral lists this ribosomal RNA (939 nucleotides) under Paramikrocytos canceri. Its description in RNAcentral is "partial 28S ribosomal RNA". It matches the Rfam family "Eukaryotic large subunit ribosomal RNA", at positions 2249 to 3401 of the family's 3401-position model. The record is from RNAcentral. Lineage: Eukaryota; Endomyxa; Ascetosporea; Mikrocytida; Mikrocytiidae.
AACAGCGGGUCGAUUCCUGAGACUCUUAAGAUAGAGAUCCCUCGUCAUUUUAUUGGUGGCCUGCAUGAUUGGAGUAACGAGGCUGCCACUGUCCCGACGAACGCACAACUAGGGGAACGGGCCCAGAGGAAACAGCGAGUAAAGAAGACCACGUUGAACUCUGCCUUAAUCUGCGGUUCUGCUGCUGUCACUGUGGCGGAGGCAGUGGAAAGGCUUUGCCGAUGGUGAGAAACCCACACACAGUUAACAGCAGCAGUCAUCAGAAGGGACAGUCGCAGGUGAGAGGCUCGGCUGGGGCGGCACCCAACGAUCUCCUCAGUGGAGCUAGAAACCUCGCAUAGAGUGUAAGGGCAAAAGCGGGUCUGAAUCCGACGCAUAUUCCGCGUUGGGCGCGCGAAAGCGUGACCUAGCGAUCCUCGACGAGUCAGUCAGCGAUGGUCGAGAUGCCGAAAAAGUUACCGUGGGAAUAACUGGCUUGUGGCGCUUGAAAGUCCAUAUCGACGGCGCUUUUCGAUUCUUCGAUGUUGGCUCUUCCCAUCCUCGGCUCGCAUGAGAGUCGAAGGGUUUGAUUGUUCACCAGUUAAUGGGGAUCGUGAGUUGAGUUUAGUCCGUCGCGAGACAGGACUGUUUCGCCCUACUGUUUCGGGACUGAACGAUCAGAGCACUCUAGUACGCAAAGAGCGAGUGGUUGGCGCCUCUUGUGUUUCCUGCGGACGAGGGUCUGCGAGAGUAGCUAUGCGCCGGGGACAUCAGCUGAGAGCGUCUCAAGCUGUAAGCCCCUCCGGAAGGUCGUGCUUGUUGUUGGCAAGUUGGGCUGUGAUGACAGUCAACAGCAACGGGCAUCAUCGGUUACACCAACCGAACGGGUAGGAGAACUAUAAGUGAUGAGCAGUUGAAUGAGUCAUUGAGGUAACUCCGAACUCAUUUUUUUAGGUUUGU